GUCUAAAUAGUUUAAAAAAAAUACCAGGUUGUGGAUUUGGUGAUAUAAGGAUCUUAUUUUGGACA
Molecule: transfer RNA, 65 nt
Filed under: Lysmata boggessi
Lineage: Eukaryota; Metazoa; Arthropoda; Malacostraca; Decapoda; Hippolytidae
Description: tRNA-His
Rfam family: tRNA
About the family: Transfer RNA (tRNA) molecules are approximately 80 nucleotides in length. Their secondary structure includes four short double-helical elements and three loops (D, anti-codon, and T loops).
Source: RNAcentral